AAGGGUAAAAUUGAGCUUUUUUGAGUUAUAUUAAAUUAUUAAUCGAAGCUACAGAAUCUCGAUUAUAAACUAGGAUUAGAUACCCUAUUAUUUCGGGAGGUACUUUUUGAAACAAAUUACUAAAAGAUAAAUACUUUAAAAUUAAAAAAUUUGGCGGUGGUUUAAUCUUAUUAGAGGAACUUGUCUCAUUAUCGAUAAUCCACGAAUAAUCUUACUUUAGUAUGUAUACCUUCAUUAUCAGGUGAUUCUAAAAAGAAUAAUUUCUGUAGUUUAUUAUUUAUAUAAAUUAGAUCAAGGUGCAGCUUAUAAGAAAGUCGAGAUGAGUUACAAUAAAUUAUUUUAUUACGGAUUAAUAGUUAUGAAGGAGGAUUUAAUUGUAUUAAAGUUUAAUAAGCUAAAAAGAAAUAAGCUCUAAAUCAUGUACAUAUCGCCCGUCGCUUCC
Molecule: ribosomal RNA, 442 nt
Filed under: Scopimera proxima
Lineage: Eukaryota; Metazoa; Arthropoda; Malacostraca; Decapoda; Dotillidae
Description: partial 12S small subunit ribosomal RNA
Source: RNAcentral